This 1954-nucleotide long non-coding RNA is filed under the name Oryctolagus cuniculus (rabbit). Its description in RNAcentral is "lncRNA (ENSOCUG00000039462.1)". Lineage: Eukaryota; Metazoa; Chordata; Mammalia; Lagomorpha; Leporidae. The record is from RNAcentral.
AUGGCGCGGGUCGCGGCGGGCGCAGUGGCGGGCUCGGGGCGGCGGGGCGCGCGCGCGGGGCCCGGGCCGGGGCGGGGCCUGCGGGAAUUCGCCCCGCCCCGCUCAAACUUUUCCGGGCCGGUGGGGGCGGGCAGGUGCGUCACGUGGCCAGCGGGGCGGGCCGUGCGGACCCCGCCCCUGCGCGCGAGCCCCGGGCGGCGUCGGCGGGAGCGGCGGAGCCCAGCGGCACGGAGAGGCGCGGCGCGCGCGGCGGGGCCAUGCCCACCAGCUUCACGGUGGUGCCCGUGGAGGCGCGCGCCGACGGCGGGGACGCAGCGGCCGAGCGCGGCGAUGCAGCCGGGACCCCCGACGGCCCCGAGCCCGACGGCCCCAGCCCGGGAGUGGCCGAGCCCAAGGAGGGUGCCAGCGACUGCCUGCCCACCGCUGUUCUCACCCCACUCCUGCCUGCAGAGCCCUGGUCACAAGUCAGUCACAGGGGCACAGGGCUGGGGUGGGGGCUCUUGGGGGGAGCACCUGCUUGAUGCGCAGCCCCCGGGGGCUACUUCUAACUCAGGAGUGGGACAGGGAGGAGGUGGAGACGUUGCCAUGGAAACGGUCAGGGAGUCCAUGUUCCUGCAGGAGACCCCCUGGUUGGCAGGGUGGUCCAGUGGCCUGGGCGGCCUACACUGCCUGUGUGUGGGCCGGGGCCUCCCCCUCUUCUGCCUGUCCCUGACCUUGGGCUGGAGGGGUGGGAGAGGGGCCGCCCACUCCGAGCCCCGCCCCCUCGGGCCUCCUCUGCACUUUCACUUUCUCUGGGUGGGCUGGCCAUGCCAGGACCCCCUGCUGUGGGAGGGUCACCUUGAGCUGGGGAGCUCUGUGGAGACCGGCCCCUGCUCCAGGGCCGGGGAGCAGGGAGGGCCCCUCCUCGGGGCACGGCUAGAGCCACCCUUGGUGACUGCGCUGCCUCCCUGGUGACCCUAACGCGGAGGGAGCUGGGUCUGGAAGGGCCUCGGCUCUGCCCCCCCCCCCACCGCCACCGGCUCCCACGGCCAGGCUGGGCUUCUGCGCCUAGGGCCCGGAGAACUUCCCAGAGCAGCCUCAGCCACACCUCGUGAGUGGCCGGCCGUUGCCCCCUCUGGCCCUGCACUUCCGCUUCCUCUCUGGACUCAGCCGGCUUCGGCCGAGGUGGGCGCCUCUCGCCCACUCUUCCUGUCCUGCUGCCUGGCCGAGGGCGGGGCUGGGGGCCGGCAGGUGCGGGCCGGGGUCUGAGUGCUGUCCUUUCCUGCAGAGGGCUUGUCGGGACUCUCGCUGUCCGCCCGGUCACGGCUGAGUCGUGGGCUCCGGCGUGGCCUGAGUGAACUUGGGCUGUGGCUGAGCUGGCGUGGAACCGGCAGCGGAGUCUGCGGGGCUGAACUUCACAUUUCCUUAGAAGGAGGCAGCUGCUGGCUCGUGGGAUCCCUGACUGCUCAGGGAAGCCGUGGCCGCCACCCGGCCGGCAGCCUUGACCGGGGGAGCCGGGAGCCCAGGCCAGGGUCACUUCCCGAGCAUCAGGGGCUGCAGGCGGAGACAAACCUGCUGGCGACUGGAGUGGCCGGUGCACUGGCGCCUCUCCUGACCGCCGUGCAGGCCCCUGGAGCGCCUGCUGACCGGCCUGGGCCUGCCCCAGCGGCUGUGGCCCGUGCAUGAUGGGGACUUCCCAGAACUGUGCUUGACCUUGAGCCGUCCCUGCUGUGCUGACCCUGGCUCUGCCCAGCGGGUGGGGCGCCUGGCAGCCGUUCCACCCUGGGGCCGUGUCUGUUCUUUGGAGUGUGGACAGUAGGGGCAGGGCCGGCGCGACUCCCUGCAGGUCCCAGCGACUGGGCGCUGCCCUGCCUCCCGCUGUGGCUGUGGGCCGGUGUCUCCAAGGGGAGGGGACGCAGGGGUUGUGUCUGGGGGGGGGCUGGCUUUCUGGGGGGGGGUCCUUUCUUGCUGACAG